UACGUAGGGUGCAAGCGUUAAUCGGAAUUACUGGGCGUAAAGGGUGCGUAGGUGGUUGGGUAAGUUUGAUGUGAAAUCUCCGGGCUUAACCCGGAAAUGGCAUUGAAUACUAUUCGGCUAGAGGUUUGGAGGGAGGACUGGAAUUCUUGGUGUAGCAGUGAAAUGCGUAGAUAUCAAGAGGAACACCAGUGGCGAAGGCGAGUCCCUGGACAACACCUGACACUGAGGCACGAAAGCUAGGGGAGCAAACAGG
Molecule: ribosomal RNA, 253 nt
Filed under: uncultured bacterium
Lineage: Bacteria
Description: partial 16S ribosomal RNA
Rfam family: Bacterial small subunit ribosomal RNA
Source: RNAcentral